RNAcentral lists this non-coding RNA (291 nucleotides) under Roseburia sp. RNAcentral's name for it is "T-box sequence". It matches the Rfam family "T-box leader". From Rfam's summary of the family: Uncharged tRNA acts as the effector for transcription antitermination of genes in the T-box leader family. T-boxes are found upstream of many aminoacyl-tRNA synthetase genes and some amino acid biosynthetic genes usually in Gram-positive bacteria. Lineage: Bacteria; Bacillati; Bacillota; Clostridia; Lachnospirales; Lachnospiraceae. The record is from RNAcentral.
GAAAAAUCAAUGAGCAAGAAGAGUACCAUAGAAAUGGUCUUUACAGAGAGUCGGCAUUUGGUGGAAGUCGAUAAGAAAGUUUUAUGGGAAUGGGUUUGUGAGAUGCAAAGCGAACUAAUAGUAGCGGAUGCCGUGUCCUCACGUUACAGAGGUAAGAUAUCAUGUGUAUCGGAUUGAGAUUAUAGAAUUGGUGGCGAGAUAUUUCUGAUUUGGAAUAUCUCUUUUUUAUUUUUAGAAGCUACGAUUCUAUAAUGAAGCAGGGUGGCACCACGACCAAAUAUCGUCCCUGGU